GCCUGGGUGGCUCAGUGGUUGAGCGUCUGCCUUUGACGCAGAUCCUGAUCCUGGGGUCCUGGAAUCGAGUUCCACAUCGAGCU
This 83-nucleotide transfer RNA is filed under the name Canis lupus familiaris (dog). It matches the Rfam family "tRNA". From Rfam's summary of the family: Transfer RNA (tRNA) molecules are approximately 80 nucleotides in length. Their secondary structure includes four short double-helical elements and three loops (D, anti-codon, and T loops). Further hydrogen bonds mediate the characteristic L-shaped molecular structure. tRNAs have two regions of fundamental functional importance: the anti-codon, which is responsible for specific mRNA codon recognition, and the 3' end, to which the tRNAs corresponding amino acid is attached (by aminoacyl-tRNA synthetases). tRNAs cope with the degeneracy of the genetic code in two manners: having more than one tRNA (with a specific anti-codon) for a particular amino acid; and 'wobble' base-pairing, i.e. permitting non-standard base-pairing at the 3rd anti-codon position. Lineage: Eukaryota; Metazoa; Chordata; Mammalia; Carnivora; Canidae. The record is from Rfam by way of RNAcentral. RNAcentral also lists the same sequence under 1 other name.